RNAcentral lists this unclassified non-coding RNA (2161 nucleotides) under Limulus polyphemus (Atlantic horseshoe crab). RNAcentral describes it as "ras-related protein Rab-3, transcript variant X1". Lineage: Eukaryota; Metazoa; Arthropoda; Merostomata; Xiphosura; Limulidae. The record is from RNAcentral.
ACUGAAGGUCUUAAUCCGGGUUCCGGGUGCAUCUCUUAGAUUAGGAUCGAAGAAGAGAAGUUGUUGAAGACAUUUAUUAAAACUCAAACUGUUCUUGGAUUUCUUACAUAUUCUGUUUGUUUGUUGAAUUGCUGUAGGAUAUAUCGAUAUGCCAACAGGUCAAGAACAGAAAUGGCAGAGAGAUGCUGCUGACCAGAACUUUGAUUACAUGUUCAAGAUUUUGAUAAUAGGAAAUAGCAGUGUAGGAAAGACGUCAUUUCUUUUCAGAUACGCAGAUGAUUCCUUUACGUCUGCUUUUGUCAGCACCGUUGGAAUUGACUUUAAGGUGAAGACUGUUUUCAGACAGGACAAAAGAGUAAAACUUCAGAUAUGGGAUACAGCAGGACAGGAACGUUAUCGAACAAUAACUACAGCAUAUUAUCGAGGAGCUAUGGGCUUCAUACUCAUGUAUGAUGUUACUAAUGAGGAAUCGUUUAAUAGUGUCCAAGACUGGGUAACCCAAAUUAAGACUUAUUCGUGGGACAAUGCACAGGUAAUAUUGGUUGGGAAUAAAUGUGACAUGGAAGAUGAACGUGUUGUUUCAACAGAACGAGGGAAGCAGUUAGCCGAUCAAAUUGGUCUCGAGUUCUUUGAAACUUCGGCUAAGGAAAACGUCAACGUUAAAGCUGUGUUUGAAUGUCUGGUAGAUAUUAUUUGUGACAAGAUGUCAGAAAGUUUGGACUCUGAUCCUAAUCUUGUUGGUGCUUCCAAAGGCACCAGGCUGACGGAGAACCCCGCUCCUUCAAACGGCGGGUGCCAGUGCUAAGUUUGUGUUUACUGCUAACAACUCUGUGUUUCCUGGAGCUUUGUGUGUAUAUCAUCCUAAUAAAUUACUUAACAUGUGGGGUUUACUUCAAAAAAGGGGGGGAGUAAUUGAGAAAAUAAAAUUUAUUUAGAAUUAAGAAAUGUGGUAGAAAAUUUGGCUCACCAACUUUUCAUUGGCAUUACAUGUUAUUUUUCUUUUAGGAAUUGUUUGUUAAAGCUCUUACAGUACAUAUGGUUAAGAAUUUGGCUGGUUGAAAGGUUUAGAAAAACUCGUAUAUUACUUUUGAGCUCUAAUUUAACAAUAUUUCAUAGUUUGCAUGAGUAUUUUUCUCUGACAAUAUUUAUUCUUGCUAUUUUUAGAGAAAGUGAGAUGUUAAUCUUCUCUAACGUUAAAGUAAAACUUGAAAAAUGAUGUCUGUGUAGUACAUUUCAACUUAUGGAGUUUAUGCCCAAUUCCAUUUAAUACGUCAAAUUAUAUAAGUGAAUUUAAAAUAGUUAAUUGUUUCUGUGUGUAAUGGUUAUAAAAUCAGCCAAUCAACUGAUAAUUGUAUUUUAUACAUGGAUUAGGUAGCUUAAAAACUUUAUCUCAGAGUGUGUUCUGACAUUUAUUUAUUUUUUAAAUCAGUUUUUCAGUAUAUUUAAGUUAAAAACCUUUUGCAAUUUGUAUACCAAUAGUGUUAAUUAUUUUUCAAAUUUUUUUUUUCUCUUGGAGAUUGGAUUUUCACCUGAAAAAAAUAUCUUGUGUAUUUUAUUAAAGUUUGUUUAAAGAUUUAUUACAUAUAAUUGGUUUAAUGUACAAAAAUAAUUGUUUGUAUUUUGGUAAACCAUCAGCUGAAGCUGAUUUUAACUAUUUACAGAAACUUUGUAAACACAGUGUUUGAUGUAUGUAAUUAAUACUUGAAACUGUUGGUACUUGAUGGAACCCCUUAUUUACUGAAUUGAGAAAAACAAAAACACUUGUACAUUUCACAGUUAUUUCAUUUACUACUGUUGUGAUUGCACCUGACGAUGCAUUUACACAUGAAAUCAUGGUAGUAGUGAAUGAAAUAUUUAUGAAAUGUCUUUGUUUCCUCAAUUUUAGUGUGUUUGAUUUAUAGUAUUAUAUUGCCAAACAUGGAUUUAAAAGACACGAAUUCCAUUUAAAUUUAUCAAACAUCUUGUACCUGUAGUGUGGUUUACAGCUAUAGUAAAAACCAGGAGUUAGUGUGGUUUACAGCUAUGGUAAACACCAAGAGUUAGUGUGGUUUACAGCUAUGGUAAACACUAGGAGAGUUAGUAUGGUUUACAGCUAUGGUAAACACUAGGAGUUAGUGUGGUUUACAGCUAUGGUAAACACCAAAAGUUAGUAUGGUUUACA